This 468-nucleotide ribosomal RNA is filed under the name uncultured bacterium. Its description in RNAcentral is "partial 16S ribosomal RNA". It matches the Rfam family "Bacterial small subunit ribosomal RNA", at positions 28 to 507 of the family's 1533-position model. The record is from RNAcentral.
GAUGAACGCUGGCGGCGUGCUUAACACAUGCAAGUCGAACGGUGAAGGCGGAGCUUGCUCUGCUGGAUCAGUGGCGAACGGGUGAGUAACACGUGAGCAAUCUGCCCCUGACUCUGGGAUAAGCGCUGGAAACGGCGUCUAAUACUGGAUACGAGCUGCGAAGGCAUCUUCAGCAGCUGGAAAGAAUUUCGGUCAGGGAUGAGCUCGCGGCCUAUCAGCUUGUUGGUGAGGUAAUGGCUCACCAAGGCGUCGACGGGUAGCCGGCCUGAGAGGGUGACCGGUCACACUGGGACUGAGACACGGCCCAGACUCCUACGGGAGGCAGCAGUGGGGAAUAUUGCACAAUGGGCGAAAGCCUGAUGCAGCAACGCCGCGUGAGGGACGACGGCCUUCGGGUUGUAAACCUCUUUUAGCAGGGAAGAAGCGAAAGUGACGGUACCUGCAGAAAAAGCGCCGGCUAACUACGUG